ACGUAGGGUGCGAGCGUUAAUCGGAAUUACUGGGCGUAAAGCGUGCGCAGGCGGUUUCACAAGCUAGAUGUGAAAGCCCCGGGCUUAACCUGGGAACUGCAUUUAGGACUGUGGAGCUAGAGUGCGGCAGAGGGAGGUGGAAUUCCACGUGUAGCAGUGAAAUGCGUAGAGAUGUGGAGGAACACCGAUGGCGAAGGCAGCCUCCUGGGCCGACACUGACGCUCAUGCACGAAAGCGUGGGGAGCAAACAGGA
This 253-nucleotide ribosomal RNA is filed under the name uncultured prokaryote. RNAcentral's name for it is "partial 16S ribosomal RNA". It matches the Rfam family "Bacterial small subunit ribosomal RNA", at positions 525 to 777 of the family's 1533-position model. The record is from RNAcentral.